GCAGGGCCUCAGGCCUCAGUGCGCUGCAGUUCCCGCCCUGAGUGGCCGGUGCCCCGAGGCCCAGCCGGUCAGCCCCCCUCCUCCACCCGCUCCUCGCAGGCGGCCGGCAGCUCCCCCGUCCCCAACAGCAGCGGCUCGUGGAGGGUCUCGGAGGAGAGGGGCCGCGACAGGAGGGAAUCCCGGGCAGGUGGGUGUGAUGAGUGGGAGACGGGGAUGACCAUGAGCUCCGAGAUACUCGAGGCACUGAGGCUCCACCAGAGGACAAGGAGGCCCCACUCCAGCAUCGCACUCCACGACCUUCCACUCACAGGAUCCUCAUCUUCCUCCGAGCUCAAACGAUCCGGGACAGUUCAGUCUCUGGAAAUCCCCGGAGCUGCAUUGACCCUCCGCCAGUCUCGUCCCUCCACCGAGUCCCGGUGUGCCGCGCUCAGAGAGGAAUUUCAGGAAUACCGGCGACAGAAGGAGAUGGAGAAGUCGGAGAGAUCCCAUGGGAAGGGCGUGAGCAGCGUUGGAAGCCUGGAGCUGGCCACACUCCUGUGAAUGCUGUGGGAUCGUUCUGUGUAAUCCCACCUGUGACUUCCCCCAGGGAGGGAGGGUAACCCAUAGCCCCAGCUUUACCUGGGAUCGCACUGUGUACUUUACUCAAAGUGUCGGAAGGAGAGUCCUUCCCAUUGGGUGAGGGGAACCGGACAAUCCGGAAAAUUGGACCUCAGGAUGGGACAUCUGUAAAAACACUGAAAUAAAAAUGGUUUACAGCA
Molecule: long non-coding RNA, 758 nt
Organism: Carcharodon carcharias (great white shark)
Lineage: Eukaryota; Metazoa; Chordata; Chondrichthyes; Lamniformes; Lamnidae
Exons: 3
Source: RefSeq, a predicted model, not a curated record